UUUCCGUAGGUGAACCUGCGGAAGGAUCAUUAUUGGAUUUUGACACUUCAGGCUGCUGCUGGCUCUCCUCGGAGGGCAUGUGCACGCUUGUUGUCCAUUAUUUCUCCCACUGUGCACAAAUUGUAGACCUUUCAGUAGGCCUAUGUUGUUUUUCACAAUCUCUGAAUGUAAUAGAAUGGUUUUGAAUCUUGGGAAAUACAAUACAACUUUCAGCAACGGAUCUCUUGGCUCUC
RNAcentral lists this unclassified non-coding RNA (233 nucleotides) under plant metagenome. RNAcentral's name for it is "partial contains small subunit ribosomal RNA, internal transcribed spacer 1, and 5.8S ribosomal RNA". The record is from RNAcentral.